Passer domesticus (house sparrow) is the source of this 3578-nucleotide long non-coding RNA. RefSeq lists it as uncharacterized. The transcript has 3 exons. NCBI's taxonomy places the organism in Eukaryota, Metazoa, Chordata, Aves, Passeriformes, Passeridae. The record is from RefSeq and is a predicted model, not a curated record.
UUUAAUAGUAACAUAUGCAGGAAAAAUGAGGGUCAGGGAUAAGUGCUGAGUCCCACUUUAGCUGCACCAUGGACCAACAGGGACAUGAUUCCACUUUUCAGUAUAUAAAACGCUGUUAUCAAGAGCACCAUGAUCAAUUUCUUCUGUUGAACCUCAUGCUCAGCAAGAAUUGAUUAGGAAGUAAUAGACUUAAAUGAACUGAAGAAAAUUUAAGAUUUACUUUAGAAAGAACUUUCUAACUGUAAGGACUGGUAACAAUGAAACAGCUGAGUUAUUGAAUCCCCAUAUCUGCAGUCUUUCACUUUCUUAGAGUGAGAAAUGGUGGUGUUCCUGGAUUGGAACAGAUGAAAGGAUUAGAUUAUUUAUUUUUUCUUUGUUUUGUUCCUGCAAUCAUUAUCUAAACUUAAAAAUAAUAUUCAGUACCUUUCUCACCUCCUAACCUUCCAUGCAUGAAGUUCUCUAUUUUUUGUUCCCCACUGCCACCCUUUUUUAAGCUUUACACAGGUUCUUUACCCUUUUCCACUGUUUUUGUAGGUCUGGUUCUGGGAAAAUGUUUGGUCCACUUCUACUUCAUUCCCCAGUGCAGCUGUGCUGGCAAAGUAAGCCUUCCACCAACUCUUUAGUCCUGAGUGAUACAGUGUAGAUGAGUGGUGCUAUAUAAAUGUAAAUUUCAAUUCAUUCCCUUCAUUUAUUCAACAAGCUAUCAACACAACCUUGUCAUUUCAAUUUUUCACACUUUUUUGUGGGGGUCCUCUGUCUCGGUGAAGUCUCAUUUCCUCAGCCCAGUGCCAAAGGUGACUAGGCUGCAUUAGAAUUUACAGUCACUUUCUAAGUGGUCAGAUGAAACGAGAAGCAGGAGGAAGCCACUUGCAGCCUUUUCCAAUCUUUCCCUUGGAUUCAUUAACCAGCUGAACAGGUAGUGCUGCCACCUCCACCACUGUACAGGUACAGAUAUGGGAUGAUAUGUCUUGUGUGAGUCAUGCAACUUCCUUUUUUAUGUGCUCCGUUAGCUGUAUUUUUCAAACUUUGGUAAGUGAUGUACUUUAACACUGUUCAAUGUAAAUACUAAAAAAUAUUUACAUAGGAAAUACAAAGAGUUAAAAUCCCACAUGGUGGGGAAGGAAAUGCAUUACAGAAAAAUUAACUUUCACACCACCACCCCUUUCCCAUUACCGCUGGAAAGAAAAUAUACUUUUGCUUUUGCCAUUCUGCCCAGGACUUCUUCUCCCACAGAUAGUUUGAAUGUAGAUUUUGCAGGUGAAAGUGGCCUUGUAUGUACUUACACAGACUCUUGCAAAGAGAUACCUGUUCUUACAUCAGCAGCAGCUUCCCAAAUAGUUAAUAUGAACACAUUCAAGAAGAAAAGGAUGAAAAAGGUCCUUCCACAGUCCCCCAUUGUAAUCUGGCCAUUUCAUGUUUCAACAUUGUUGUCUGAGUGCAAAAGAGAUCUCUGGCAGUUAAAAUGUCAUUUUCACUGAUAUGACUGACCAUUACUAAAUCACCUUUACAACAUUUUUUGGGUCUUUUUGCCCUGUCUGGCCUGUUUGCGCCUUGUCUCUUGACAUCCUUCCAAACACUUUAAGCUACCCCACUAAAUGUGCUUUCACACCAAAUGGAGUUUAUUAAUUUGUCCUUACAAAGGACAACCAAGAAUAUAAUAAUAUAAGAUAAUGCAUAUGUGGGCUGGUCAAUUUGCAGCCCUUUGCCAAAAUGGUACAAUUUUAUCCAAGAUGUGUAUGUUAAUAAUACCACAGGAAUCCACAGGGAGAGUCCAAAUGUGGAGCUGGAAAUACUUGAUUUUUAUCUGCUUUAGCACAGUGUCUGCCUUUCAGAGAAGAAUUUCUCUGCCAUCUCCUAGAGACACCUUUCCAACAUCUUACUUCUGAGCCCUACAGAAUUGAAAAUUAUCUUCUUAUUUGUCUUAGCCUCUCAUGCAAUCUCCCCUUCUGUCUCUGCCUCUUGUAUUAAAUUUUUUCUUUACACUCUCUUAACUUCCUUCUGCAAUUUUUCUAGUCCUCCUCUCUAUCUAAUGUUUUAUAGCUUGCAUAUGCCUCUUUCUUAACCUUAAUUACUUUUUGCACUUCCUACUCCUAGUGUAUUUAUUGCUUGAUAGCACACAUGAGCCUUGGCGUAUAUUCAUUUAUCUUUGAACGUUUCUCAUUUGCCUUUGGUUCAUUUGGUAGCAGCUCUGUACCUCAGCUAGCAGGCUGUGGGUUCAAGAUUCACCCCAAUAUUAGGAGUGUUUCUUGGGGAUUCAUCCUGCAGGGGAUUUAUAAGGCUUUUGGAUACCAUACUGGUGAUUUCAGGCAGUACCUUCCAUAAGCAUUUCUUCUGCACAGCUCUGCUGCUUGCUAAGGUACCCAAGCAGGUAAAAGUUCAAGACUCUACUGCGUUUUAUGGCAAGAGCAAGAAAACUAGUUGUCUUGGUUAGUACUUGGUAAACAAAAUAUUUCCAAGACCAUUAUUCUACAUGUGAGUUAUUGUUAGCUUCUACGUUUGAUGAUUUUCAUUAUUAGAACCCUGUGACAUUUAAUCAGGACAAUUAAACAGUUUGAUAAUUGUUUCUUAUAUAGGGGUGUUGCGAAUAAAUUAAUAAUUUAUUGCACACUGUUUAAAAGACACCAGCCUAGGGACAAGAGCCUCAAAUGUUAAUCUUUUGGACCAGCUACCCUCCUGGUGUUUAUUAAAAUAAACCUUGAUUCAAAUUACAGUGGAGGUAUUGGGGUCACCAUAUUUUUAUUUGCUAAUACAGCAGAUUAAUACUCUGCCUUCUUAAAGCAACUUCAAAUUCAUAACUCUCUCUGUUAAAAAUUUCAGACUUACCUGAGUUUAGAGCUAGCUCAGUGGUUUUGCAACAGUGCAGUCAGAACCAUGAGCAGUUUUAGACAAGAUGGAGGACCUGAAAUGGUCUCAUUCUCUGUGGUUUUUGUUAUUUAUAGCUGCCUCUGACCUACCUUUUCCCCUUUUUCCCCCCUCCUAUGCCAACAAGUAAUAUUGCUAAGUUCUAUGUUCUAAUGAUGAGGUUGGUUUAUAAUAAUAUCGUGAUCUUUUUUCUUAAAAAAAAAAAAAAAGUAUUACUGUCCUUUGGGUUCUUUUCUGAAGAAUUCAUCUUUGUGCAAUUCAUUGUCACAUUUGCACGCUAACCUCUACCUCUGGUUGGAAAGGGUGUUACUGGAGAAAAGCUGCAUUACAGAAAAUUGCACCAUAAAAUAGCCAUCCAUAUCCUGGUCAGAUCCAUGUCUGACAAAAUGUGACUCUGAGCUUUGAGUGGAACUGUGAUUCAAUCAGGCUCUCACCAAAUCCUUUUGUGAGAAAUACAUUAUCCUACACCAGUACAUAUCAAACUGAAGGAUCAACAUGAGGGGCUGGGAGAUGUGACACCUUUGAGCACUGAGGGACGGUACCUGGAGGAACAAUAUGAUGGCCUUCCUUCCCUCUGUUGUAACUGCUCAGGAAGAAGAAAAACCAGAUGCCUGUUCAGACCAGAGGGAACCAGAUGUGACAUGUAACCUGCAGAGGGCUGAGCUGAAGAAUGGGGACAUUUCUGUUUUGGUUGGUUUUUUUUUUUUUUUUUUUCU